GACGAACCGUGCGAACGUUGUUCGGAAUCACUGGGCUUAAAGGGCGCGUAGGCGGGCCGGCAAGUCAGGGGUGAAAUCCCACGGCUCAACCGUGGAAGUGCCUUUGAUACUGCCGAUCUGGAGGGAGGUAGGGGCGUGCGGAACUUCCGGUGGAGCGGUGAAAUGCGUAGAUAUCGGAAGGAACACCGGUGGCGAAAGCGGCGCGCUGGACCUCUACUGACGCUGAGGCGCGAAAGCGUGGGGAGCAAACAGG
This 253-nucleotide ribosomal RNA is filed under the name uncultured bacterium. Its description in RNAcentral is "partial 16S ribosomal RNA". It matches the Rfam family "Bacterial small subunit ribosomal RNA", at positions 524 to 776 of the family's 1533-position model. The record is from RNAcentral.